AUGUCGCGUCAGUUGGUACAAGUGACGUGAGAGAGGUGGAUGUAUCAUGAGGUUGAGCUGUUAUACUACCCCGGCUUGUUUCAAAGCCUAGCCCCACCUUGGACACCUUCCCAUCAGGAUGCCGCCCACAACAGUCUUUUCAAGUGUACAUAUUUACUAGGGAAACCAGUGCUGUUGAUAGUGUACUAGCAUAUGUGCAGCUCGUAGCAGCAAUCUCGACGGUCAGUCUUUGUAGUGGAGAAAGAACUGCUGGAAACAGGAAUCCAAAUAUAGGUUGGUGCAAGCUUCCGUUAACUGUUUUAAAUGGGGAACCGAAGUAGGAGGGGCCGUUCUGCUGGAAAUUCAAUUUUUCCUGGCAAGAGCAAUUCGAACAGGAUAAAUCAAACUGACCCUAGGAAGUCUCCUCACCCACCCAGCCCUCGGCUUAGGACUAACAUAAGGCAGAGACCCAGCCACUACGGACGAUCCAUCCCUAGGCGUCAAUUCAGUCCACUGCGUCGACUCGGACCUCUCUCUAGAUUCAGUCCUGUGCGCCAUUCUAGUCCAAGGCACUGCUCUAGUCGGUCUACGUGUAUAUUAAGCCGGACUAAUGAAGGGAACUAUAGUGAUUGCCUGUCAAAGCAAGACUCGAGUACACCUUUACAUUUUAUAACUUCUGAGUCAACUUCAUUUUGGAAAGAUAGUGGUAGCGCUGAGGAA
This is a non-coding RNA of Cherax quadricarinatus, 699 nucleotides long. NCBI's taxonomy places the organism in Eukaryota, Metazoa, Arthropoda, Malacostraca, Decapoda, Parastacidae. The record is from RefSeq and is a predicted model, not a curated record.